AAGGGCACCACAAGAACGCGUGGAGCAUGUGGCUUAAUUUGACCCAACGCGGGAAAUCUUACCGGGUCCGGACACACUGAGGAUUGACAGGCAAUUAAUCACGCACACCGCACUCUCUGUAGUCGCGGUGUGUGUAUAUUUCAAAUAUGCUAGUCCUUUCAUGAUUAUGUGAUAGGUGGUGCAUGGCCGUUCUUAGUUCGUGGAGUGAUCUGUCUGCUUAAUUGCGUUUCACUAAGGGUCUAUAUUUUUAAAACGUAUGUUUUAUAUGCUGGCGCUUUGACCCCUGUGUUUAUGCACAGCGCGUGUCUCUGUUAGCUCAUUGCUAUAUCAUACACUUUAGGCUCUGAAAGCAACGAACGUGACCG
This 365-nucleotide ribosomal RNA is filed under the name Foraminifera environmental sample. RNAcentral describes it as "SSU rRNA". It matches the Rfam family "Eukaryotic small subunit ribosomal RNA", at positions 1160 to 1431 of the family's 1831-position model. Lineage: Eukaryota; Foraminifera. The record is from RNAcentral.